Molecule: ribosomal RNA, 497 nt
Filed under: uncultured bacterium
Lineage: Bacteria
Description: partial 16S ribosomal RNA
Rfam family: Bacterial small subunit ribosomal RNA
Source: RNAcentral
GAUGAACGCUGGCGGCGUGCCUAAUACAUGCAAGUCGAGCGAACAGACGAGGAGCUUGCUCCUCUGACGUUAGCGGCGGACGGGUGAGUAACACGUGGAUAACCUACCUAUAAGACUGGGAUAACUUCGGGAAACCGGAGCUAAUACCGGAUAAUAUAUUGAACCGCAUGGUUCAAUAGUGAAAGACGGUUUUGCUGUCACUUAUAGAUGGAUCCGCGCCGCAUUAGCUAGUUGGUAAGGUAACGGCUUACCAAGGCAACGAUGCGUAGCCGACCUGAGAGGGUGAUAGGCCACACUGGAACUGAGACACGGUCCAGACUCCUACGGGAGGCAGCAGUAGGGAAUCUGCCGCAAUGGGCGAAAGCUUGACGGAGCAACGCCGCGUGAGUGAUGAAGGUCUUCGGAUCGUAAAACUCUGUUAUUAGGGAAGAACAAAUGUGUAAGUAACUAUGCACGUCUUGACGGUACCUAAUCAGAAAGCCACGGCUAACUACGUG